This 134-nucleotide small nucleolar RNA is filed under the name Castor canadensis (American beaver). RNAcentral's name for it is "Small nucleolar RNA SNORA51 (ENSCCNG00000022075.1)". It matches the Rfam family "Small nucleolar RNA SNORA51". Rfam says of the family: ACA51 is a member of the H/ACA class of snoRNA that guide the sites of modification of uridines to pseudouridines. Lineage: Eukaryota; Metazoa; Chordata; Mammalia; Rodentia; Castoridae. The record is from Rfam by way of RNAcentral.
GGCCUCCUGGUACUCACCACAAUCUACAUGCUUACUUACAAUGACUACAGCCAAGAGGAGGGAAAGUAAAUCUGCCCCAUGUACGCCUCAGCCCAGCCCUGCGCCUGGGCUACAUUGUGAAUGAGGAGACAAGG